Unclassified non-coding RNA from Pongo abelii (Sumatran orangutan), 148 nucleotides. It matches the Rfam family "Metazoan signal recognition particle RNA". Rfam says of the family: The signal recognition particle (SRP) is a universally conserved ribonucleoprotein. It is involved in the co-translational targeting of proteins to membranes. NCBI's taxonomy places the organism in Eukaryota, Metazoa, Chordata, Mammalia, Primates, Hominidae. The record is from Ensembl.
GCUGGGCAUGGUGGUGUGUGCCUUUAGUCCCAGCUACUCAGGAGGCUGAGACAGGAGAAUCACUUGAACCCGGGAGGCAGAGGUUGCAGUGAGCCAAGACUGAGCCACUGCAACCCAGCCUGGGUGACAGAGUGAGACUCCGUCUCAA